CGCUACCAGUGAGCGGUUGCCAGCGCUAUUAGUUUCCGCAGUGACACAAGCGACGCUACAGUGAAUUCAUUUGUGUUAUGAGGUACGCUCACGGUUUUAUUUUCCCGUUAACUGGAUAAGAAAUGACUUUGUGUCGGUGACCAUAAAAUCGAGUGAACGCCGUAGUGUUCAUACCCGAUGUUGUAUUAUCGUAGUUUUGCCACGCCAACAUCGUCUGUGUUACUCGUGCGCAAUUUUCCGUUCGUAGUGCACUGAAAAAAACAUUGGUCAAGAUGUUCGCUAUCGACCUGACAGGAACAGAAACAAGCCUUCAAUUAACAUCUUAAGAGGAAUAUAAUAGACACCCGUCGGAGCUAAAGCCACCAAUAGCAUGGCUGUUUGAUUUCCAGACAACAAUGCCGUCAAGAACUUCAUAAAUGAAGAGGAUUGGACUCGGCCAUUGGAGUUACAGACAAGAGUGGCGUGGCUGACAAAUGAACAACCAACAGAGACCUGACCGUCAGAGAUACCAGACACAGUCAAGCUGUGUUCCUGAAUACGCGUCGUUGUCUGCUAGUCUGUAGGUGUGAAGGCGCGCCAGCCACCCACAAGAGCAGUUCUCUCAUCCGAAUUUGGGUGUCGCUAACGAACCGAGGCGGCUGAUAUCGCAACCAACAGAGGCAUUGGAAGGAAGAAUAAGGGAAGGAAUCGAUGAGGAAAGUAGAAGAAAUCGGAGAAGGAAGGAGCAGAGAAAUAAUUCAUUUUAAGAAGAGGGUGUGAAAACCAGGUCGAUCAAGAGGAAAAAGUAGGAAGUCAGUGAAGAAGAGAAACAGAAUGGUGUGAAAAUUAACAACGAAACGUGCCGAACAGUGCAGUGUGUCGGAGAAUUACGGAGAAAUGUGACUGAGCACAAUGUUUUUCGACGAGAAGUUUGCAGCUUUGGAUAGCGAAGAAAUUGAGAAAUUAGUUCGAGUUCUAUAACAUUCAU
Hyalella azteca is the source of this 967-nucleotide long non-coding RNA. RefSeq lists it as uncharacterized. Lineage: Eukaryota; Metazoa; Arthropoda; Malacostraca; Amphipoda; Hyalellidae. The record is from RefSeq and is a predicted model, not a curated record. The transcript has 2 exons.